AUCCGGGUGGCUGGAUGCGACUGUGGGGCGGCCGGCAGUUUCGGGCUGGCGACGGGGAGAGGAGUGACCCUGGCCCGCGCCCCCACUCCCGCGCUCCUCGAUUGGAAGUGACACUUGCGGAAAAGAAAAUGUGAGCAAUGCAGAAAGGACUCAGAUAGAAAGUGAAGGUCCUCUGGACUGAAGGGGACCUGGAAUUUACUUGGUGAAAAUGCAUGUCUGGAAUGCUUGUGGUGUGCCGGGUUUUAUUCCAAGUGCCUUACAUGGAUCAUCACAUUUGAAUGCUCAGAAACUCAGGAG
Cervus elaphus (red deer) is the source of this 297-nucleotide long non-coding RNA. RefSeq lists it as uncharacterized. The transcript is spliced from 3 exons. Lineage: Eukaryota; Metazoa; Chordata; Mammalia; Artiodactyla; Cervidae. The record is from RefSeq and is a predicted model, not a curated record.